GGGUCGUUAGCUCAAUGGCUAGAGUACCUGCCUUUUAAGCAGAGGGAUCAGGGUUCGAGUCCUUGGCGACCCACCA
RNAcentral lists this transfer RNA (76 nucleotides) under Phormidesmis sp. RL_2_1. RNAcentral's name for it is "tRNA-Lys". It matches the Rfam family "tRNA". Rfam says of the family: Transfer RNA (tRNA) molecules are approximately 80 nucleotides in length. Lineage: Bacteria; Bacillati; Cyanobacteriota; Cyanophyceae; Leptolyngbyales; Leptolyngbyaceae. The record is from RNAcentral.